UGUUCUUUCAUGUUUGCAGGCUUGUUGGUAUCCAUUAAAGUUCUGAGGUGGCUUUGGCUUCUUAACAUGGACCCUUCCUUCCAAUUUCAUUAGAAUAUCAUCUUCUUUGGGAUUCAGGAAGUGGGUGCAUAUGAAGAAGUCACCCCCUGGCAAAAUAGGGGCACACCUAGAUGGAAGACACCAAAAUGAAGGAAGACUGGGAAAGACGUCAUGCAGAAGAUGGAAUGUGUGCUGAUCCUCCAAGGAAAAGUGGAAGCCACCAGGUGAUGGGAGGCUUGUUUCUUCAAUGAAAAGUGUUAAACAGGACACCAGAGGUCCUGAGUUCAAAUCCUACCUCCUUCACUUUCUAUAGGUCAACUCACUUAACUUCUCUCAUCUGUCUCCUAUGCCUGGAACUCUCCCUCCUCAUUCCCAUCAGUUCAGACUCCAUCAGUUCCUUCUAUAGA
RNAcentral lists this long non-coding RNA (446 nucleotides) under Monodelphis domestica (gray short-tailed opossum). Its description in RNAcentral is "lncRNA (ENSMODG00000046285.1)". Lineage: Eukaryota; Metazoa; Chordata; Mammalia; Didelphimorphia; Didelphidae. The record is from RNAcentral.